CCUACGGGAGGCAGCAGUGAGGAAUAUUGGUCAAUGGACGAGAGUCUGAACCAGCCAAGUAGCGUGAAGGAUGACUGCCCUAUGGGUUGUAAACUUCUUUUAUAAAGGAAUAAAACGAGGCACGUGUGCCUUUUUGCACGUACUUUAUGAAUAAGGAUCGGCUAGCUCCGUGACAGCAGCCGCGGUAAUACGGAGGAACCGAGCGUUAUCCGGAUUUAUUGGGUGUAAAGGGAGCGUAGAUGGGUUGUUAAGUCAGUUGUGAAAGUUUGGGGCUCAACCGUAAAAUUGCAAUUGAUACUGGCAGUCUUGAGUACAGUUGAGGUAGGCGGAAUUCGUGGUGUAGCGGUGAAAUGCUUAGAUAUCACGAAGAACCCCGAUUGCGAAGGCAGCUUACUAAACUGUGACUGACAUUGAUGCUCGAAAGUGUGGGUAGCAAACAGGAUUAGAUACCCGGGUAGUC
RNAcentral lists this ribosomal RNA (460 nucleotides) under uncultured bacterium. RNAcentral's name for it is "partial 16S ribosomal RNA". It matches the Rfam family "Bacterial small subunit ribosomal RNA", at positions 338 to 795 of the family's 1533-position model. The record is from RNAcentral.